GAUGAACGCUAGCUACAGGCUUAACACAUUGCAAGUCCGAGGGGCAGCAUGGUCUUAGCUUGCUAAGGCCGAUGGCGACCGGCGCACGGGUGAGUAACGCGUAUCCAACCUGCCUUACACUCUUGGACAGCCUUCUGAAAGGGAGAUUAAUACAAGAUGUUAUCAUGAGUAAGCAUUUUCGCAUGAUUAAAGGUUUACCGGUGUAAGAUGGGGAUGCGUUCCAUUAGAUAGUAGGCGGGGUAACGGCCCACCUAGUCUUCGAUGGAUAGGGGUUCUGAGAGGAAGGUCCCCCACAUUGGAACUGAGACACGGUCCAAACUCCUACGGGAGGCAGCAGUGAGGAAUAUUGGUCAAUGGACGAGAGUCUGAACCAGCCAAGUAGCGUGAAGGAUGAAGGUUCUAUGGAUUGUAAACUUCUUUUAUACGGGAAUAAACGGAUCCACGUGUGGAUUUUUGCAUGUACCGUAUGAAUAAGGAUCGGCUAACUCCGUGCCAGCAGCCGCGGUAAUACGGAGGAUCCGAGCGUUAUCCGGAUUUAUUGGGUUUAAAGGGAGCGUAGAUGGGUUGUUAAGUCAGUUGUGAAAGUUUGCGGCUCAACCGUAAAAUUGCAAUUGAUACUGGCAGUCUUGAGUACAGUUGAGGUAGGCGGAAUUCGUGGUGUAGCGGUGAAAUGCUUAGAUAUCACGAAGAACUCCGAUUGCGAAGGCAGCUUACUAACCUGUAACUGACAUUGAUGCUCGAAAGUGUGGGUAUCAAACAGGAUUAGAUACCCUGGUAGUCCACACGGUAAACGAUGAAUACUCGCUGUAGGCGAUAUACAGUCUGCGGCCAAGCGAAAGCAUUAAGUAUUCCACCUGGGGAGUACGCCGGCAACGGUGAAACUCAAAGGAAUUGACGGGGGCCCGCACAAGCGGAGGAACAUGUGGUUUAAUUCGAUGAUACGCGAGGAACCUUACCCGGGCUUAAAUUGCAACCGAAUAUGGCGGAAACGCUAUAGCUAGCAAUAGCGGUUGUGAAGGUGCUGCAUGGUUGUCGUCAGCUCGUGCCGUGAGGUGUCGGCUUAAGUGCCAUAACGAGCGCAACCCUUGCCGAUAGUUACUAACAGGUUAUGCUGAGGACUCUGUCGGGACUGCCAUCGUAAGAUGUGAGGAAGGUGGGGAUGACGUCAAAUCAGCACGGCCCUUACGUCCGGGGCUACACACGUGUUACAAUGGGGGGUACAGAGGGCUGCUACCACGCAAGUGGAUGCCAAUCCCAAAAACCUCUCUCAGUUCGGAUUGAAGUCUGCAAACCCGACUUCAUGAAGCUGGAUUCGCUAGUAAUCGCGCAUCAGCCACGGCGCGGUAAAUACGUUCCCGGGCC
Molecule: ribosomal RNA, 1362 nt
Filed under: uncultured bacterium
Lineage: Bacteria
Description: 16S ribosomal RNA
Rfam family: Bacterial small subunit ribosomal RNA
Source: RNAcentral